UGGGGAAUUUUGGACAAUGGGCGAAAGCCUGAUCCAGCAAUGCCGCGUGUGUGAAGAAGGCCUUCGGGUUGUAAAGCACUUUUGUCCGGAAAGAAAUCCUUGGCUCUAAUACAGCCGGGGGGAUGACGGUACCGGAAGAAUAAGCACCGGCUAACUACGUGCCAGCAGCCGCGGUAAUACGUAGGGUGCAAGCGUUAAUCGGAAUUACUGGGCGUAAAGCGUGCGCAGGCGGUUUGCUAAGACCGAUGUGAAAUCCCCGGGCUCAACCUGGGAACUGCAUUGGUGACUGGCAGGCUAGAGUAUGGCAGAGGGGGGUUAGAAUUCCACGUGUAGCAGUGAAAUGCGUAGAGAUGUGGAGGAAUACCGAUGGCGAAGGCAGCCCCCUGGGGCCAAUACUGACGCUCAUGCACGAAAGCGUGGGGAGCAAACAGGAUU
RNAcentral lists this ribosomal RNA (435 nucleotides) under uncultured bacterium. Its description in RNAcentral is "partial 16S ribosomal RNA". It matches the Rfam family "Bacterial small subunit ribosomal RNA", at positions 355 to 779 of the family's 1533-position model. The record is from RNAcentral.